Molecule: small nucleolar RNA, 93 nt
Organism: Mangifera indica (mango)
Lineage: Eukaryota; Viridiplantae; Streptophyta; Magnoliopsida; Sapindales; Anacardiaceae
Product: small nucleolar RNA R64/Z200 family
Exons: 1
Source: RefSeq, a predicted model, not a curated record
AUACUGCUGUGAUGAUAUAUGAAUAAAUUCACAUGUCAGACUUCAGAGACUUUGAAGUCUAUGAGAAAGCAUAUUCAUGUUUCUGAGCAAUUU